RNAcentral lists this ribosomal RNA (508 nucleotides) under uncultured bacterium. RNAcentral describes it as "partial 16S ribosomal RNA". It matches the Rfam family "Bacterial small subunit ribosomal RNA", at positions 28 to 523 of the family's 1533-position model. The record is from RNAcentral.
GAUGAACGCUAGCUACAGGCUUAACACAUGCAAGUCGAGGGGAAACGACAUCGAAAGCUUGCUUUUGAUGGGCGUCGACCGGCGCACGGGUGAGUAACGCGUAUCCAACCUGCCCACCACUUGGGGAUAACCUUGCGAAAGUAAGACUAAUACCCAAUGACGUCUCUAGAAGACAUCUGAAGGAGAUUAAAGAUUUAUCGGUGAUGGAUGGGGAUGCGUCUGAUUAGCUUGUUGGCGGGGUAACGGCCCACCAAGGCGACGAUCAGUAGGGGUGCUGAGAGGAAGGUCCCCCACAUUGGAACUGAGACACGGUCCAAACUCCUACGGGAGGCAGCAGUGAGGAAUGUUGGUCAAUGGGCGAGAGCCUGAACCAGCCAAGUAGCGUGCAGGAUGACGGCCCUAUGGGUUGUAAACUGCUUUUAUAAGGGAAUAAAGUGAGUCUCAUGAGACUUUUUGCAUGUACCUUAUGAAUAAGGACCGGCUAAUUCCGUGCCAGCAGCCGCGGUAA